This 1245-nucleotide long non-coding RNA is filed under the name Homo sapiens (human). RNAcentral describes it as "HSALNT0353427". Lineage: Eukaryota; Metazoa; Chordata; Mammalia; Primates; Hominidae. The record is from RNAcentral.
AGUCCAGGAACCGCUUUUGCAUAACCUCAGUAGAUAAAGCAUGCUGAGGUCAUGUCAGAUCAUUUCAAGCUCUUCUGUGUCGAGCUGAGGAGCUGCUCUGUGCCCGGCUUACAGAACUGGAAGGGGGAGCCACCUUCCGCCUGAUGGAGGCUGGAGAACGGAUGGAACCUGGAUCCCUGGAGCCUGGGACACUACCUCGCUGCGGUUGGUGGUGGCCACAGACCAGUAGGAGGGCGGCUGGCAGCGGGAGCUUCUUCUGCCGGGCUGGAGGACUAGGAGAAGGGAGAGGGAACGCCACAUGCUGGAGGCUGGAGCCUGUGCCACCGUGGCUCACCUCGAUGUGGUUGGUGGCAGCUCGCCUUGCUGUGGUUGGUGGUGACGUCGGAGACUGCAGCUCGGCCACAGUGGUAGAAAUGUGUUGGGGUAGCUUUUGCUGUGUUGGGCACUUGCUCCCAUCUGCUUGCUUCUCUAGAAUCCACUGCCCUAGAAUGAGUAAUUUUUCUUAGAAGCAGAGUUGGAACCACUGAGGAAGCACAGUCAUCUGAUUCAUCCUGGUAGCAAUUCCAUUCUGCAUCUCUUCUGGACACCCACAGGACCACCAGAACAACCCCAUCAUGGCCCUGUCACCAGGCCCAGUUUGGCUCCAUGAUAACCAAGACGCAGGUCCAGAGACAACCGCCCUGCUUGAUGCCUGCAUCUGACCUCCCUUGGUGGGUAGUGAUGAGCACAACAUGGAAGAAGCCAGGGCAGCUUGUGGCCAGCUGCCCUACAGCCCCAGAUGGCUGGGGACUAGGAUUCCAAAAGGAUGAUUUUGGAGCUGUAGGAUUGAAUGACUGGCCUGCUGGGUUUUGGAUGUUCGUGUAUCCUAUGAGUCCCAUCGGUGUUUGUUUUUCUUUCAGGCAAUUUUUCUUCUAUUGGCUGGGAAUGCUUACCCAUUGCCUGUACAAUCAUUGUACCUUGGAAGUAGUUAACUUGCUUUAUAAUUCAGAGGCUCAUGGGCAGAAGGGACUGUAUCCUUGUCCCAGAUAAAACUUUGGGCUUUGGACAUUUGCUGGAAUGAGUUAAGAUUUGGGGGACUGUAGGGAAGUCAUCAUUGUAUUUUGCAACGUGAGAAAGACAUACGAGAUUUGCAUGGGCAGGGACAGAAUAAUAUGACUUGGCUCUGUGUCCCACUGCUGUGAAAUUGUAACGGGAAAUGUUAAAGGUGGUGGGGGCUGGUGGAAGGUGAUUUAAUCAUGGUGGAGA